Molecule: ribosomal RNA, 725 nt
Filed under: Lomentospora prolificans
Lineage: Eukaryota; Fungi; Ascomycota; Sordariomycetes; Microascales; Microascaceae
Description: Scedosporium prolificans Eukaryotic large subunit ribosomal RNA
Rfam family: Eukaryotic large subunit ribosomal RNA
Source: Rfam by way of RNAcentral
GGGUGAGUAGCAGUUGGCCGGCGGCCCGUGUGGGGGUGGGUGAAGCGGAGGGGGGGUGUGGAGGGGGGGGCCGGGGUGGGGGGGCGAGGGCGGCCGGGGGGGCGCGCAAAGCCGUGCAGGGGAUUGUCAAGGGAGGUCGGGAGCGCGCCGGACCCGGGCGGAGGGGUGAGUCCGUUCCGCUCCCGCCCCCCCUUGAAAAUCCGCUGGAGGGAAAAAUUAUCACGCCAGAUCGUACUCAUAACCGCAGCAGGUCUCCAAGUUGAACAGCCUCUGGUUGAUAGAACAACGGAGCCAAGGGAAGCCAGCAAAAUAGAUCCGCAACUUCGACAAGAGGAUUGACGCAUGUUGGGACAAGGUGGGCUCCAGGCGAGGCUCUCUGGAGCAGAUGGCCACCAGCGGGGCAAUCGGCCGGGGGCACUCAGCAUCUGGGUGCGAGCUUUUAGCAGGUAUAAUUGCCGUCCAGCGAACAGCGAACAAACCAACUUAGAACUGGUGCGGGUAGGGGGAAGCUGACUGUCUAAUUCAAACAUAGCAUUGCGAUGGACAGAAAGUGGUGUUGACGCAAUGGGAUUUCUGCCAAGUGCUCUGAAUGUAAAAGUGAAGAAAUUCAACCAAGCGGGGGUAAACGGCUGGAGUAACUAUAACUCUCUUAAGGUACCCAAAUGCCUCGUCCUCUAAUUAGUGAGGCGCAUGAAUGGAUAAACGAGAUUCCCACUGACCCUAUG